AGGUUAAGUUACAAAGGGCGCACGGUGGAUGCCUUGGCACUAGGAGCCGAUGAAGGACGGAACUAAUACCGAUAUGCUUCGGGGAGCUAUAAGUAAGCUUUGAUCCG
Molecule: ribosomal RNA, 107 nt
Filed under: Lactobacillus sp. chh01
Lineage: Bacteria; Bacillati; Bacillota; Bacilli; Lactobacillales; Lactobacillaceae
Description: partial 23S ribosomal RNA
Rfam family: Bacterial large subunit ribosomal RNA
Source: RNAcentral